Molecule: long non-coding RNA, 214 nt
Filed under: Lathyrus oleraceus (garden pea)
Lineage: Eukaryota; Viridiplantae; Streptophyta; Magnoliopsida; Fabales; Fabaceae
Description: Pisum sativum (pea) long non-coding RNA (PSAT_LNC016578)
Source: RNAcentral
AUUCCAAACCAUUUUAAAUAAUUCCAAACCUCAUUUAACCAACUCCAAUCCUCACAAAACUAACUCCAAACCUCCAUUUGAUCCAAACCUAUAACCUAUAUAAACACAUCACUCUCAUUACACCAAAGCUCUCUCAGAAUUUGAUCAUCACUCUCAAAUUACUCAUUGCAAAUUCAACUUUUCUCACUUCAUCUUCUCCAAUACUUCACCCUAU